RNAcentral lists this ribosomal RNA (452 nucleotides) under uncultured bacterium. Its description in RNAcentral is "bacterial SSU rRNA". It matches the Rfam family "Bacterial small subunit ribosomal RNA", at positions 340 to 786 of the family's 1533-position model. The record is from RNAcentral.
UACGGGAGGCAGCAGGGGGAAUAUUGCACAAUGGGCGCAAGCCUGAUGCAGCCAUGCCGCGUGUAUGAAGAAGGCCUUCGGGUUGUAAAGUACUUUCAGUCGUGAGGAAGGUGUUAAGGUUAAUAACCUUAGCAAUUGACGUUAGCGACAGAAGAAGCACCGGCUAACUCCGUGCCAGCAGCCGCGGUAAUACGGAGGGUGCGAGCGUUAAUCGGAAUUACUGGGCGUAAAGGGCACGCAGGCGGUUAAUUAAGUUGGAUGUGAAAUCCCCGGGCUUAACCUGGGAAUGGCAUUCAAGACUGGUUAGCUAGAGUCUUGUAGAGGGGGUAGAAUUCCAUGUGUAGCGGUGAAAUGCGUAGAGAUGUGGAGGAAUACCGGUGGCGAAGGCGGCCCCUGGACAAAGACUGACGCUCAUGUGCGAAAGCGUGGGGAGUAAACAGGGAUUAGAUACC